GCGCCCGUGGCUCAACGGAUAGAGCACUGGACUUCUAAUCCGGCGGUUGAGGGUUCGAAUCCCCCCGGGCGCGCCA
This 76-nucleotide transfer RNA is filed under the name Actinomycetota bacterium. Its description in RNAcentral is "tRNA-Arg". It matches the Rfam family "tRNA". From Rfam's summary of the family: Transfer RNA (tRNA) molecules are approximately 80 nucleotides in length. RNAcentral also lists the same sequence under 1 other name. The record is from RNAcentral. Lineage: Bacteria; Bacillati; Actinomycetota.